UACAGAGGGUGCAAGCGUUGUUCGGAAUUAUUGGGCGUAAAGAGCUUGUAGGCGGUUUGUCGCGUCUGCUGUGAAAAUCCGGGGCUCAACCCCGGACUUGCAGUGGGUACGGGCAGACUAGAGUGUGGUAGGGGAGACUGGAAUUCCUGGUGUAGCGGUGGAAUGCGCAGAUAUCAGGAGGAACACCGAUGGCGAAGGCAGGUCUCUGGGCCACUACUGACGCUGAGAAGCGAAAGCAUGGGGAGCGAACAGG
This 253-nucleotide ribosomal RNA is filed under the name uncultured bacterium. RNAcentral describes it as "partial 16S ribosomal RNA". It matches the Rfam family "Bacterial small subunit ribosomal RNA", at positions 524 to 776 of the family's 1533-position model. The record is from RNAcentral.